AUUCCUAAAAAAAAGGAUAGUGGUUCCUGCAGUUUAUUUUGCUUUUAUAUAACGAGUAGCAACACUGAAUCAUUUAUCAUUCUUUUCUGAAAACUGCAACCAUCAAUCAAUCACCUCCAAAGCCAUCAAUUAUGAACAAAGAACAGCCUGCCGGAAACUGUGACAUGCAAAUGAAGUAGGUUAAAAUAGUUAUUUUAUUUGACCUUAAUUUAUUUUUUGUAAUUACUAAAUUUCUGCGAAGUGUAGAAGCUUCAAAAUGGUGCUGAAAUAAUCGACGACGACCAAUUCAGAUUUGACAAGUUACCAUUGUGGUCGAAAAUGCACAAAAUGAUGGAACGUCUGACCUGCAAGUGAAGUUUUCUGAAGAUACCGUUCACAUUGUUAUUCCUGGCCCACACAACUCUGAAAUGGUAUACUUAAUACCUCACUUUUUUAAAUUGUUACAGAUGUUUUUUUAUUAGUUUAUUAUUUUUAACUUACUAAUAAAACUACAAAACAUUAAUGCAAGAAAACUACAAAACAUUAAUGCAAUUCAAUUUGGAGGGGCAGGUAUGCGAGCUAAAAGGUUUGGGUAAUAAUGGUUUAUCUUAAUGUUAUUGUUAUUAUUUGUCCUGUUCUCAUAUGAAGAGCCUGCUGGAAACUUUGACAUGGA
Molecule: long non-coding RNA, 652 nt
Organism: Helianthus annuus (common sunflower)
Lineage: Eukaryota; Viridiplantae; Streptophyta; Magnoliopsida; Asterales; Asteraceae
Exons: 3
Source: RefSeq, a predicted model, not a curated record